UGGGGAAUUUUGGACAAUGGGCGAAAGCCUGAUCCAGCAAUGCCGCGUGUGUGAAGAAGGCCUUCGGGUUGUAAAGCACUUUUGUCCGGAAAGAAAUCCUUGGCUCUAAUACAGUCGGGGGAUGACGGUACCGGAAGAAUAAGCACCGGCUAACUACGUGCCAGCAGCCGCGGUAAUACGUAGGGUGCAAGCGUUAAUCGGAAUUACUGGGCGUAAAGCGUGCGCAGGCGGUUUGCUAAGACCGAUGUGAAAUCCCCGGGCUCAACCUGGGAACUGCAUUGGUGACUGGCAGGCUAGAGUAUGGCAGAGGGGGGUAGAAUUCCACGUGUAGCAGUGAAAUGCGUAGAGAUGUGGAGGAAUACCGAUGGCGAAGGCAGCCCCCUGGGCCAAAUACUGACGCUCAUGCACGAAAGCGUGGGGAGCAAACAGGAUUAGAUACCCUGGUAGUCCACGCCCUAAACGAUGUCAACUAGUUGUUGGGGAUUCAUUUCCUUAGUAACGUAGCUAACGCGUGAAGUUGACCGCCUGGGGAGUACGGUCGCAAGAUUAAAACUCAAAUGAAUUGACGGGG
Molecule: ribosomal RNA, 571 nt
Filed under: uncultured bacterium
Lineage: Bacteria
Description: partial 16S ribosomal RNA
Rfam family: Bacterial small subunit ribosomal RNA
Source: RNAcentral